RNAcentral lists this small nucleolar RNA (121 nucleotides) under Mus caroli (Ryukyu mouse). RNAcentral's name for it is "predicted gene, 26354 (MGP_CAROLIEiJ_G0036317.1)". It matches the Rfam family "Small nucleolar RNA SNORA17". From Rfam's summary of the family: snoRNA ACA 17 belongs to the H/ACA family of snoRNAs and is predicted to guide pseudouridylation of the 28S rRNA at positions U4659 and U4598. The record is from RNAcentral. Lineage: Eukaryota; Metazoa; Chordata; Mammalia; Rodentia; Muridae.
CCUGCCUUUAUGGGUGGGUAUAGCAAUAAGUCUUCUGUGACAUAUGUGUGUCAACAAGUGGCAGAGAGGAGGCGGACUAUAGUCUACCUAUGAACAUCUGAAUGAUUAGUAGACUAAUAUU